Molecule: ribosomal RNA, 504 nt
Filed under: Pseudocheilinus octotaenia (eight-lined wrasse)
Lineage: Eukaryota; Metazoa; Chordata; Actinopteri; Labriformes; Labridae
Description: partial 16S ribosomal RNA
Rfam family: Bacterial large subunit ribosomal RNA
Source: RNAcentral
UGCCCUGUGANUAUAUGUUUAACGGCCGCGGUAUUUUGACCGUGCAAAGGUAGCGCAAUCACUUGUCUUUUAAAUGAAGACCUGUAUGAAUGGCAUAACGAGGGCUUAACUGUCUCCUUUUUCAAGUCAAUGAAAUUGAUCUCCCCGUGCGGAAGCGGGGAUUAUAACACAAGACGAGAAGACCCUAUGAAGCUUUAGACAUCAAGGCGGACCACGCCAAACAACCUCAAACAUGAGAUUAAGCCUAGUAGUUUCCCGCCCAACUGUCUUUGGUUGGGGCGACCACGGGGGACAAGAAAGCCCCCACGAAGAACGGGGCGAUUUCCGCCCUGAAGCCCAGAGCCCCCGCUCUAAGCAACAAAACCCUUUUGACUUUCCAGAUCCGGCAUGGCCGAUCUACGGACCGAGUUACUCUAGGGAUAACAGCGCAAUCCCCUUAUAGAGACCCUAUCGACAAGGGGGUUUACGACCUCGAUGUUGGAUCAGGACAUCCUAAUGGUGCAG